UACGUAGGGUGCGAGCGUUGUCCGGAAUUAUUGGGCGUAAAGAGCUUGUGGGUGGUUUGUCGCGUCUGCUGUGAAAAUCCGAGGCUCAACCUCGGACUUGCAGUGGGUACGGGCAGACUAGAGUGUGGUAGGGGAGACUGGAAUUCCUGGUGUAGCGGUGGAAUGCGCAGAUAUCAAGAGGAACACCUGCGGCGAAGGCGGGUUGCUGGGCCGACACUGACACUGAGGCGCGAAAGCUAGGGGAGCGAACGGG
RNAcentral lists this ribosomal RNA (253 nucleotides) under uncultured bacterium. Its description in RNAcentral is "partial 16S ribosomal RNA". It matches the Rfam family "Bacterial small subunit ribosomal RNA", at positions 524 to 776 of the family's 1533-position model. The record is from RNAcentral.